UACGUAGGGUGCAGGCGUUAAUCGGAAUUACUGGGCGUAAAGCGCACGUAGGCGGCUUUUUAAGUCAGGGGUGAAAUCCCGGGGCUCAACCCCGGAACUGCCCUUGAAACUGGAGAGCUAGAAUCUUGGAGAGGCGAGUGGAAUUCCGAGUGUAGAGGUGAAAUUCGUAGAUAUUCGGAAGAACACCAGUGGCGAAGGCGACUCGCUGGACAAGUAUUGACGCUGAGGUGCGAAAGCGUGGGGAGCAAACAGG
Molecule: ribosomal RNA, 253 nt
Filed under: uncultured bacterium
Lineage: Bacteria
Description: partial 16S ribosomal RNA
Rfam family: Bacterial small subunit ribosomal RNA
Source: RNAcentral